This 360-nucleotide RNase P RNA is filed under the name human gut metagenome. Its description in RNAcentral is "Bacterial RNase P class A". It matches the Rfam family "Bacterial RNase P class A". From Rfam's summary of the family: Ribonuclease P (RNase P) is a ubiquitous endoribonuclease, found in archaea, bacteria and eukarya as well as chloroplasts and mitochondria. Its best characterised activity is the generation of mature 5'-ends of tRNAs by cleaving the 5'-leader elements of precursor-tRNAs. The record is from RNAcentral. RNAcentral also lists the same sequence under 1 other name.
GCCGCUGCCCCGCAAGGGGGAGAGGAAAGUCCGGGCAACGCAGAGCGCCGUCCUUCCUAACGGGAAGAUCUCCGAGAGGGGAUAGCAAGCGUAACAGAAAACAACCGCCACGAAACCGCCGAACGGUCGCGUGGUAAGGGUGAAAAGGCGGGGUAAGAGCCCACCGCGGAUGUGGUGACACGUCCGGCCGUACGUCUGACGGGUUGCAAGACCAUGUAUACCGACGCCGUAGGGUUGCUCGCCCGAUGUCGGGGGGUAGGUUGCUGACGAGCCGCGGAGGAGACUCCCGGCCUAGAUAAAUGGCAGAGGCCCGCAGGGGAGCGAUCCGCUCCGGGCACAGAACCCGGCUUACACGCCCUG